AGAGCCCUUUGCUCCUCCCUCAGAAUGAAUGGGGACCAGAAAUCAGAUGUUUAUGCCCAAGAAAAGCAGGAUUUCUUUCAGCACUUCUCCCAGAUCGUUGGGGUGCUGACUGAGGAUGAGAUGGGGCACUCAGAGAUAGGAGAUGCUAUUGCCCGGCUCAAGGACGUCCUGGAGUACAAUGCCAUUGGAGGCAAGUAUCACCGGGGUUUGACGGUGCUAGUAGCGUUCCAGGAGCUGGUGGAACCAAGGAAACAGGAUGCUGAUAGUCUCCAGAGGGCCUGACUGUGGGCUGGUGUAUGGAACUGCUGCAAGCUUUCUUCCUGGUGACAGAUGACAUCAUGGAUUCAUCCCUCACCCGCUGGGGACAGAUCUGCUGUUAUCAGAAGAUGGGCAUGGGGUAGGAUGCCAUCAAUUAUGCUAUCCUUCUGGAAGCAUGUAUCUACUACCUGCUGAAGCUCUAUUGCCAAGCACAGCCCUAUUACCUGAACCUGAUCGAGCUCUUCCUGCAGAUUUCCUGUCAGCCUGAGAUUGGGCAGACCCUGGACCUCAUCACAGCCCCUAGGACAAUGUGGAUUUUGGCAGAUUCACUGAAAACAGGUACAAAUCUAUUGUCAAGUACAAGAUAGCUUUCUACUCUUUCUACCUUCCUGUAGCUGCAGCCAUGUACAUGGUAGGAAUCGAUGGUGAGAAGCAGCACGCCAAUGCUUAGAAGAUCCUACUGGAGAUCGAGAGUUUUUUCAAAUUCAGGAUGGUUACCUUGACCUCUUUGGGGACCCCACUGUGACCCGCAAAGUUGGCACUGACAUCCAGGACAACAAAUGCAGCUGGCUGGUGGUUCAGUGUCUGCAACGAUCCACUCUGGAACAGUACCAGAUCCUGAAGGAAAAUUACGGACAGAAGAAGGCCAAGAAGGUAGUCCAGGUGAAGGCACUGUAUGAGGAGCUGGAUCUGCCGGCCGUGUUCUUGCAGUAUGAGGAAGACGGUUACAGCCACAUUAUGGGUCUCACUGAACAGUACGCAGCGCCCCUGCUCCCAGCCAUGUUUCUGGGGCUUGUGUACAAAAUCUACAAGCAGAAAAAGU
This 1081-nucleotide long non-coding RNA is filed under the name Homo sapiens (human). RNAcentral describes it as "non-protein coding lnc-ZFAND6-2:2". The record is from RNAcentral. Lineage: Eukaryota; Metazoa; Chordata; Mammalia; Primates; Hominidae.